CUAUUUGUGCUAUUUCUCACAAUGGCUGACAAAGUUCACCAUAAAGUACAGGGGCACAAUGCAAAGUUCACCAAAAACUGAAAGAGCUUGGAAUGAUGUGAAAUAGACAGGAAUGGUGACUGGCUGCUGAAUUUUUUAAACCAUAAUGCCUUUACCAUAUCCCUUCAUAUGAUGUUACAUAGGCAGUAGAAAACAUUGUUAAAUAUCAUUCAAAACGUACAAAAGUGGCAUAUUUAGUGUAAUAGAAUCACUAUAUAGCUCCACUCUUUGAAUUAGGAUUAUGGCCCAACAGGCCCUAAAAUGUUGCUGACAUGUUAUAGUUCAACACUAUGAAAAUUUGCACUAGAAGCAGUUUCAUAGUCUAAGCAAGAUACUAGCUUUUAAAAACUCUCAAAAAACACAGCAAUUGACGUAGAAAUAAUCACCAGCACCAUAAAAAUGUAAAGCAUUUUGCCAAAGAAUAAACCUAUUGCUAAGAGAAAAUGCAGGAGGUUUUUUUUUACCUUGCUAUGCUGUACAGUGCUUUCUCUGUGCUAGCCCCGCCCCCUCCUCGGCAGGCUCAGCCAGGGAAACUCUGUUACCUUGUUGCAACUAGAGCUACACAGGAAGCAGAUGGGCUGAAAACUGCUACAUAACAGCUACGAUUCCAGACUUCACCUGCCUGACCCAUCCUGAAAAAACUGCUUUCAUGUAUUACAGUGAUAAAUUGUCGCAAUGGCUUUCCUCAUCGCUUGGACCGGAUGUCUAUUUUGGAGAAAUCCCAUCUGAUUAGAGGUGCAUCAAGUAUAUCCCUGUCUUGGACUGUGAGUUUAUUCAGGUGGGCCCCUUGAAGAAAUCUCAGACCGUUUUCAGGAGAAUCGGGAACAUGUUUGUAAAGCGCUUUGAAGAGGUCUCUCAUCAAUGCAGCAAUAUCUAAUGUAUCAUGUGCCCACCCUGUAGAUGUUUUAAUUUUCUGAAUGUAUGUAUUUGAUUGCUGUCUUUUAACUAUAUUUGCCAAUAAUUUCCCAGGUUUGUUUCCCUAGCGAUAAUAUCUGUUUGUCGUGUGGCUCAAUUUAUGUUGCAUUUGUUCUGUCAAUAAAGUAUGAAAAAGGGCCUUUGUUUCCUUGUAUUUCUUUUUUGCUGUCUGUGAGUUAGUAGUUUUGAAAUUUUUAUAGGAGCAGGUAAGCUCGUUUUGUAGUAAUCGAUACCUUUCAUUAAAUGAUUUCUUCCGCUUGAUCAUGUAAGAUAUGAUGUGACCUCGCAUUACUGGUUUGGCAGCGGCCCAUAAUAGAUUUUUUUCUUCCCAAUGCACCAAGUUAUCGUCAAUAUAAUUUGCCCAAUUUUGUUUAAGAUAGUUCCUAUAAUCUUCAUUGUGAUACAGAUAUACUGGAAACCUCCAAUUGUGUGAAUGUGGCUUUGGGUUAGAUAAUUCCAAUAUUAAUCUCAUAGGGGCAUGGUCUGAAAUGUCUAUGUUGCCUAUACUGGCAUCUUCUAUCUAGGCUAGGUGAUUAGUUGAGAAAAAGAUAGAAUUGUGUGGGAGUUAUGAACUGCGGAAAAAAAGGUAUAGUCUCUAGUGUCAGGGUAUAAGUAUCUAUAAACGUCUUGUAGUUGGAGGUGGUUACAUAAAGAGUGUAAUGGUUUGAUCCUUCUCGGAAUGUGUGUGUAAGAAGUACCUGAUUUAUCC
This is a long non-coding RNA of Xenopus laevis (African clawed frog), 1663 nucleotides long. RefSeq lists it as uncharacterized. The transcript is spliced from 3 exons. The record is from RefSeq and is a predicted model, not a curated record. NCBI's taxonomy places the organism in Eukaryota, Metazoa, Chordata, Amphibia, Anura, Pipidae.